GACGAACGCUGGCGGCGUGCUUAACACAUGCAAGUCGAACGGAAAGGCCCUGCUUUUGUGGGGUGCUCGAGUGGCGAACGGGUGAGUAACACGUGAGUAACCUGCCCUUGACUUUGGGAUAACUUCAGGAAACUGGGGCUAAUACCGGAUAGGAGCUCCUGCUGCAUGGUGGGGGUUGGAAAGUUUCGGCGGUUGGGGAUGGACUCGCGGCUUAUCAGCUUGUUGGUGGGGUAGUGGCUUACCAAGGCUUUGACGGGUAGCCGGCCUGAGAGGGUGACCGGCCAAAUUGGGACUGGGAUACGGCCCAGACUCCUACGGGGGGAAGCAGGGGGGAAUUUUGCACAAUGGGCGGAAGCCUGAUGCAGAAACGCCGGGGGGGGGAGGACGGCCUUCGGGUUGUAAACCUCUUUCGCCUGUGACGAAGCGUGAGUGACGGUAAUGGGUAAAGAAGCACCGGCUAACUACGU
RNAcentral lists this ribosomal RNA (467 nucleotides) under uncultured bacterium. RNAcentral describes it as "partial 16S ribosomal RNA". It matches the Rfam family "Bacterial small subunit ribosomal RNA", at positions 28 to 506 of the family's 1533-position model. The record is from RNAcentral.